Non-coding RNA from Danio rerio (zebrafish), 82 nucleotides. NCBI's taxonomy places the organism in Eukaryota, Metazoa, Chordata, Actinopteri, Cypriniformes, Danionidae. The record is from Rfam.
GGUAGCGUGGCCGAGGGGUCUAAGGCGCUGGAUUUAGGCUCCAGUCUCUUCGGGGGCGUUGAUUCGAAUCCCACCGCUGCCA